RNAcentral lists this ribosomal RNA (398 nucleotides) under uncultured microorganism. Its description in RNAcentral is "bacterial SSU rRNA". It matches the Rfam family "Archaeal small subunit ribosomal RNA", at positions 330 to 735 of the family's 1478-position model. The record is from RNAcentral.
GUGCACCAGUCGAGAAUACUUUACAAUGUGCGAAAGCACGAUAAGGGAACUCUGAGUGCCUCCUAAGGAGGCUGUUCAGGUGUCUAAAAGCACCUGAAGGAAGGGCUGGGUAAGACCGGUGCCAGCCGCCGCGGUAACACCGGCAGCCCAAGUGGUAGCCACGUUUAUUGGGUCUAAAGCGUCCGUAGCCGGCUGGGUAAGUUCCUUGGGAAAUUUGGCUGCUUAACAGUCAAGCUUUCAGGGAAUACUGCCCGGCUUGGGACCGGGAGAGGUCAGAGGUACUCCAGGGGUAGGGUGAAAUCCAUUAAUCCUUGGGGGACCACCGGUAGCGAAGGCGUCUGACCAGACCGGGUCCGACGGUGAGGGACGAAGGCUAGGGGCGCGAACCGGAUUAGAUA